RNAcentral lists this ribosomal RNA (1925 nucleotides) under marine metagenome. Its description in RNAcentral is "bacterial LSU rRNA". It matches the Rfam family "Bacterial large subunit ribosomal RNA", at positions 3 to 1976 of the family's 2925-position model. The record is from RNAcentral.
UCAAGCUACAAAGGGCUCACGGUGGAUACCUUGGCACACAGAGGCGAUGAAGGACGUGUUUACCUGCGAUAAGUCUCGGGGAGCUGGAAAAACGCUUUGAUCCGGGAAUUUCCGAAUGGGGCAACCCCUAGAACGGCCGCCUGAAUCCAUAGGGCGGUGCGAGCCAACCCAGCGAACUGAAACAUCUUAGUAGCUGGAGGAAAGGAAAGUAAAAACGACUCCCUCAGUAGCGGCGAGCGAACGGGGAAGAGCCUAAACCGAUGGUUUCGACCAUCGGGGUUGUGGGACAGCAACGUGUAUCAGGGAUGUUAGAAGAAGCGUUUGAAUGGCGCACCACAGAGGGUGAAAGUCCCGUAUUCGAAAAUUGAACUGAGCUAGCUGUAUCCCGAGUAGCACGGAGCACGUGAAAUUCCGUGUGAAUCCGCGAGGACCACCUCGUAAGGCUAAGUACUCCUGUGUGACCGAUAGCGCAACAGUACCGCGAGGGAAAGGUGAAAAGAACCCCGGGAGGGGAGUGAAAUAGAACAUGAAACCGUGAGCUUACAAGCAAUGGGAGCCCGACUAAUCGGGUGACCGUGUGCCUGUUGAAGAAUGAGCCGGCGACUUAUAGGCACUGGCAGGUUAAACCGGGAAUGGUGGAGCCAUAGCGAAAGCGAGUCUGAAUAGGGCGAUUGUCAGUGUUUAUAGACCCGAACCCGGGUGAUCUAACCAUGGCCAGGAUGAAGCUUGGGUGAUACCAAGUGGAGGUCCGAACCGACUGAUGUUGAAAAAUCAGCGGAUGAGCUGUGGUUAGGGGUGAAAUGCCAAUCGAACCCGGAGCUAGCUGGUUCUCCCCGAAAUACGUUGAGGCGUAGCGUCUAGUGCUCCAGCAGGGGGGUAAAGCCACCGUUUCGGUGCGGGCUGCGAGAGCGGUACCAAAUCGAGACGAACUCUGAAUACCCUGUGUGUAACUAGGCAGUCAGACUGUGGGGGAUAAGCUCCAUGGUCGAAAGGGAAACAGCCCAGACCGCCAGCUAAGGUCCCCAAAUCAACGCUAAGUGAUAAAGGAGGUGGGAUUGCCCAGACAACCAGGAGGUUUGCCUAGAAGCAGCCAUCCUCAAAGGAGUGCGUAAUAGCUCACUGGUCGAGCGAUCCUGCGCCGAAAAUGAACGGGGCUAAGCGUUGUACCGAAGCUGCGGAUUAAACUUGUUUAAUGGUAGGGGAGCGUUCCAUGUGGGGUGAAGCGUUAGCGUAAGCGGGCGUGGACUGCAUGGAAGUGAGAAUGUCGGCUUGAGUAGCGAAAACAUGGGUGAGAAUCCCAUGCCCCGAAACCCUAAGGGUUCCUCCGGCAGGCUCGUCCGCGGAGGGUUAGUCAGGACCUAAGGCGAGGCCGAAAGGCGUAGUCGAUGGACAACAGGUCAACAUUCCUGUACUGAUCAUGUUUUGGGAAGGGGGACGGAGAAGGCUAGCCAAUCCGGAUGUUGGUUACCGGUCCAAGCGUUCGAGGCGUUGAGAGCUGGAGAAAACAGCUUGAGCUGAGGCGUGAGUGCGAGCUUCUACGGAAGCGAAGUUGGUGACGUCAAGCUUCCAAGAAAAGCCCUAUACCCGUUAAGGCAUGAUUACCUGUACCCGAAACCGACACAGGUGGGGUGGUAGAGAAUACCGAGGGGCGCGAGGUAACUCUCUCUAAGGAACUCGGCAAAAUGACCCCGUAACUUCGGGAGAAGGGGUGCCAGCGCGAGCUGGUCGCAGUGAAUAGGCCCAGGCGACUGUUUACCAAAAACACAGGUCUCCGCUAAGUCGCAAGACGAUGUAUGGGGGCUGACGCCUGCCCAGUGCCGGAAGGUUAAAGAAGUUGGUCAGCGCAAGCGAAGCUAACGACUGAAGCCCCGGUGAACGGCGGCCGUAACUAUAACGGUCCUAAGGUAGCGAAAUUCCUUGUCGGG